UAGGGAAUCUUCCACAAUGGACGCAAGUCUGAUGGAGCAACGCCGCGUGAGUGAAGAAGGUUUUCGGACCGUAAAGCUCUGUUGUUGGUGAAGAAGGAUAGAGGUAGUAACUGGCCUUUAUUUGACGGUAAUCAACCAGAAAGUCACGGCUAACUACGUGCCAGCAGCCGCGGUAAUACGUAGGUGGCAAGCGUUGUCCGGAUUUAUUGGGCGUAAAGCGAGCGCAGGCGGAAGAAUAAGUCUGAUGUGAAAGCCCUCGGCUUAACCGAGGAAUUGCAUCGGAAACUGUUUUCUUGAGUGCAGA
This 304-nucleotide ribosomal RNA is filed under the name uncultured bacterium. RNAcentral's name for it is "partial 16S ribosomal RNA". It matches the Rfam family "Bacterial small subunit ribosomal RNA", at positions 355 to 652 of the family's 1533-position model. The record is from RNAcentral.